UAUGGUGAUGGAGUGUCAAUGUAGAUAAGUUAUCCUCACAAUCGCCCAUAGCAGCGUACAACACACCGAAUUUAGGGCAAUCCUUUAUCUUCUCCUUCUUCUCUACUUUUUCAAAAAUCUAUACCUUCAACAUAAAGCAACUCUCUCUCUCCCUUAUAUGCAAUAAAUUUUAAUUUUUGAAUUCUCCAAACAGGGCAAAAGGAAAACAAACAAAAAGCCUAGAUAGAGGCUUUAAUAUUGUUGGGUAGAUAAUUCUACCUCACGUCUUUAUCCAUUUGCCUUGUUUUUUUCAUUCUAAUAUGAUGAGAAGGCAACAGGAUCAACAAUCUAAGGUUUUAGAACAACUUUCUUCUUUGAUUUUAAAUAUUAUACGAUCACCACCGGCGCCGAUUGAGUUUUACGAUGAUUCCUCAAUGUCUCCAUCCUCUUCAGGGAGGAGGAUGGCUGUCGCUGGGUCGAUGCACCAAAUUACUCCGGCCGGAUUUGCAUCUCUGCUUUUGGGAAUAUCCUUUGCUUUGAUGCUUUGUGGAUCCGUCACUUUCUUUAUUGGCUUUUUAAUGAUGCCAUGGGUGCUUGCUUUGAUUAUGCUCUUUUAUGUUGCUGGAAUUGUUUACAGUUUGACUAUGAUUGGACGAGCUAUUUUCUCUCAUUUAUCUUCUCCCUCCUCACCAAGAAAAGAUUUUCACCGACACCGUAUUGCUUGAUAUUUUCACAUGGCUUAUGCAGAAAUAGUUGGAAGUAUAUCGCUAAUAGACACAAGACUGGAAACUUUUCUGAAGCAAUUUAAACACUUGAAUGGUGAUUGAUUGUUUACUACGUCAUAAGAUGGAAGCUUCCCGGCAAUGUUUAGAGAAUGGAUGCAGGAAUGUCGAUAUUAAUGAAAUGAGGAUAUUGGAAGGUGAUCUUUCGUAGUGGAGCAGGGAAUAACUUGAGGAUGGAUGUAUAUUUUUAGUUAUUACGUAGAGAGAAGGAAGCUCAAAAUUUCUGUGCCUUGAUGUUUUCCUAUCUCAGUACACUAUUCCUUGAGAGAUGUAGAAACAGUAGUUCAUUGUUUCAUCCAUGAAGUAACAUUAUCCUUGUGAAUAUUUCCUCAAUGUAUGGACGAACACGUUACAUGUCUAUGGGAAAAUAUAGUGAAUGACAUUGCUCUGAAUUUGACAACUGCAA
This is an RNA transcript of Solanum tuberosum (potato), 1167 nucleotides long. RefSeq lists it as uncharacterized. Lineage: Eukaryota; Viridiplantae; Streptophyta; Magnoliopsida; Solanales; Solanaceae. The record is from RefSeq and is a predicted model, not a curated record. The transcript is spliced from 3 exons.